GUGUGCGCGUCAUUGGGUAUAUUGUUGAAACCUAAGGGCGUAAUUGAAUAACUAUUUUAUGGGAUUACAAGUGAAUUAAUUUUCAUUGCUUCAUCCCGGGGCGUUCUAUACGAACAUGGUUCAAGCAAUUGGACCCUCUGUUCAAGAGCGUACCUUGAGCAUACAUGCUGUGACCCGAAAGAUGGUGAACUAUACCUGAUCAGAUCGAAGCCAGGAGAAAUUCUAGUGGAGGAUCGAAACAGUUCUGACGUGCAAAUCGAUUGUCAGAAUUAGGUAUAGGGACGAAAGACCAAUCGAACCAUCUAGUAGCUGGUUCCCUCCGAAGUUUCCCUCAGGAUAGCUGGCGCAAAGAAUUAUAUUAUAUAUAAUCUUAUCUGGUAAAGCGAAUGAUUAGAGGCCUUGGGGCCGAAACGACCUCAACCUAUUCUCAAACUUUAAAUGGGUAAAAACCUCAUCUUUCUUGAUCUGAAGAUAUUGGGGUUUAGAUAUAUUGUGCCCAGUGGGCCACUUUUGGUAAGCAGAACUGGCGCUGUGGGAUGAACCAAACAUGAUGUUACGGCGCCAAAAUUAAUGACUCAUAUUGAUACCAUGAAAGGCUUAAAACAGCAGGACGGUGGAUAUGGAAGUCGUAAUCCGCUAAGGAGUGUGUAACAACUCACCUGCCGAGGCAACUAGCCCUUAAAAUGGAUGGCGCUCAAGUCAUAUGCCUAUACAUCAUCGSUAAAAUAAAAAUUGUUGACUUUUCGGUCAUCAUUAUGAAAUUUUAGCGAGUAGGAGGGUACAAUGGUGUGCGCAGAAGUGUUUGGCGUGAGCCUGCAUGAAGCCGCCAUUGGCACAGAUCUUGGUGGUAGUAGCAAAUAAUCGAAUGAGAUCUUGGAGGACUGAAGUGGAGAAGGGUUUCGUGUGAACAGUGGUUGAUCACGAGUUAGUCGGUCCUAAGCUUUAUGAGAAAGCUGUUUAAUUUAUGUUACACACAAAAAUAAAAUUGUUGUACAUAAUUCAAUAAAAGCGAAAGGGAAUACGGUUCCAAUUCCGUGGCAACAGGAACGACCA
This 1053-nucleotide ribosomal RNA is filed under the name Cratyna nobilis. Its description in RNAcentral is "eukaryotic LSU rRNA". It matches the Rfam family "Eukaryotic large subunit ribosomal RNA", at positions 682 to 1638 of the family's 3401-position model. The record is from RNAcentral. Lineage: Eukaryota; Metazoa; Arthropoda; Insecta; Diptera; Sciaridae.